CUAAAGGGGAUGAACUUCGCCAGCGGCCCCCUUUCCCGGGGCAGUCCCUGCUCUCCCCUGCUAGAGGGGCACCCUAAUCCGUCACCCCAUCCGACUUCAGAGUGUAUUCGUUGGGUUCGGCAACUCACCACCAGCAACCAACCAAAUCUAGCGGAUCAACGGCGCAUCAACUUAGUUCCUGGUCAGCUCGCAAGUUGAUAUUAUCACGUCCUACAUCGUCCAUAUGAUGGGGGGCCACCUCCCAUUUCAACACUCCUCAAACACCCGAGGAGCCGGCAGGCGGAUUUGAACCCGGGUCGGCCGGGAGCAGAAGUCAGGCCUUACCUCUGCCAGCCGCCUGCCUAAAAUAGAUCGUCACCAGGGGUUCGCACGUGGUCCCCCAUCGUACUACUGAUCUGGCCCAAUGUUGCUUAUGUGCCCAGUGCUGAUGGGAUGGGCAGUGUUCAACAUGGAAUGCACGAUCCAUGCAUGUAUGUAUGUGCUGAUUGUGUUUUUUGGGGGAUGUCAUGGGGGCUGGGGAGGGGGGACUGCGCGGGUUUUUAAAGGUUUCGGUUUUGGGUUGAGGGGGUGUUAGGUAGGGGCCCUGCUUGGAGAGGGCUCUUGGGGUGUGUGUGUGGGGGGGGGAAGGGGCGAGAAGGGGGGAGUUCGUGUCUCGUGAUUCUGUCAUCCUCACGGCUGUUGGUUGCUACUGCUGCUGCUACUGCUACUGCUGCUGCUACUGCUACUGCUACUGCUACUGCUACUGCUACUGCUACUGCUACUGCUACUGCUACUGCUACUGCUACUGCUACUGCUACUGCUACUGCUACUGCUACUGCUACUGCUACUGCUACUGCUACUGCUACUGCUACUGCUACUGCUACUGCUACUGCUACUGCUACUGCUACUGCUACUGCUACUGCUACUGCUGCUACUGCUACUGCUACUGCUGCUGCUGCUGCUCCUCUUUCCAGGCAGCAGAUGUGGGUGUGGGAGUGAUGGGCAAGGAGGGGCGUCAGGUGGGUGAGGACCCCAGGCGCACGGGGGGUGAGGGAGGCAGCGUAGACGACCGGGCGAACUUAACUUUUCAAGGUCGUUUGCUGUCCCUUUGUGAGUUGAAGGGUUUGUUGUACCUUGUCUAUCACGCACUCUGUCAGUUUGUCACUCUGUCAGUCUGUCCGGCUGUCCGGCUGUCCUUUACCAAAUUCAUGAGAUGGUGUUUUCGCCGAACGGUCGUACACAGAUAUGCCAGGUUACAGGGGGUGCCCUCUGCGGCAACCGUACAUCUUUACCGGAUUGCCGUACCGGUACGAACGCAGGCCGUGAACAACAGUGACGUGGCAGUACCGCUGUUUCGUCAUCUAGUUCCGUUGCUGCUGGUGCACGGCCAGGUGGAUAGGCGGUUGGCGGUUGGCGGUUGAGGGCAAAAAACAAAUGUAUGACACGUUUAGUGCUCCUCCUAAAUGUCAACACACGUCGACAUUUUCAUUUUUCAUUUGUCCACGUGUCCAUGUCGAUUUUACCCUGCGAGGUCUGGACCUUGAUAGAUACACACGCGCACACAUGCACAUGCACAUGCACAUGCACAUGCACAUGCACACGCGUCUAUGCAAGGCGCUCACGGCGCAAACAUGGACGCUCACGCUUUGGCACACAUACACACAUACAUACAUACGUACAUCAUGCACACGUGCACCACGCAGCUGUGCUCGGAGCGGCUGUCCCGUCUAAUCACCUACUCCUUCUACAAGAACCUGGCGUACUGGGGAGUGCUGCUGAUGUUCCAGUUUUAUUGCGGUUUCUCCGGUAAGCGAGUGUCGUACAGCACGUACGAUGCCGUACAUAUUGUACCGGAUCUGUCAUGUCGCCAUAUGUCAUGUUGUAAAGUGCGUGUAAUGAGGGAACGAUGCAGCGGUGGCACUACCUACCGUGGUCCGAGAGCUCCUGGAAAGCUCGAGAAGCUUGCCUGCCUGAAAUAUAACUUCAGGCAGGCGGGCAGGCAACAUAAUUUAGCUUACAUUUAGCUUGGGCAAAAACAUCACAGCUUAGUUUUGUUGGUAAAUAACACUACAGGUGUGGUGAUUGCGGUAUGGUAGCUGGGGUAAAUGUACGGGCCGUCGUGUUCAACAGAUGUUCAACCAUUGAGAUGGUGGUUAAGAACCAACCGCUUCCCAACCGAAUGACUUACCCAACCACCACAUCUCAGGACAGGCGCUAAUCGACGAUAUCAGCGGCUCCUUCUACAACGUGGUCUUCACAGCUUUUCCCAUCCUAGUCGUGGCGCUACAGGUACGACAGUACAGUACGGUAUGGUACGGCAGAAGAGUAGUGGCUGUCGUGCACACUGAGCGCUGCACGAGCAGCUCUUCCGCCUUGCAAAUUUAAACGGAACUUGGUUCCAUCAUCACAGUUUUUGCAUCACAGUCAAUUUACAAUCUUUUCUUCCAAUUCUGGUUCAGCACACGUCCACCUGUGUAUCGAUUGGUAACCUCUAGCUUUCCCAAAAGUGCCGUACCUGCCGUACUCACUGUACUGAUGUGCAGGAGAGCCACGCACCUGACCCCUCAGUCACUCUUAUGCAGCACCCCGAGCUCUACAACGCGCAUCCCCCGCUCACCCCAAUGCGGUUCUGGCUGGAAGGGAUCAUGUUGCCACUUUUCCACGUGAGCGCGGCUAGUGUGUGGGUACUGUUGGCCUGGCAGCUGUGCGACUUUGAUAUAACUUGCCUUGUGUCAAUGUGACCCGUGGGUCGGUUCGGAGAGAGACGUGGCCUUACUGAGCCUGAUGGGCCUGAUGGUUGCCACUUCGAAGCGUGACACUCAGCGUGAAUUGGCUGAGUGUGAGCCGUGGGACCCAUGGGUCAGUGGACAUGUGGUGAGCUCAGCUUGACGAGGAGGUCAAAUGAACCAAUUCUUCCUUAAAGAAAACACACAGGGCACCCCCGAGAUGUGCCACAAUGACCCCUCCCUGUUACCGCCAUGCCCGGUUCUGGCAGAGCGCCGCCUGCUUCUUCAUCCCCAUGUACAGCGCCACGCCGUACGGCACUCAGCCCGCACACGUGCUCUGGGUGGUCGGCAAGGCGUCGUACAUGGCGGUAGUUGUGGCGGUUACAGCUGAGCUGAUGCUAACGACACGGGCAUGGACGAGACUUCUUGUUGUUGUGUGUGCUCUGAGCGUGGUGGUGGCGUUCCCCUUUUUGCUGCUGGUAAGGAGUUCAGGUCCGAUAAUAAUAAUAAUUUGCUGUUGCUGCUACUGCUGCUGUUGCUGCUGCUACUGCUGCUUCAGAUGCUACUGCACCUGUUGUUGUUGUUACAGGGUGGUACAGCUUCACCAGCGGCCGCCUUCCCGAGGCAGUUCCCUGCUCUCCCCUGCUAGAGGGGCACCCUAAUCCAUUCACCCCAUCCGACUUCAGAAUGUUUUCGUUGGGUUCGGCAACUCACCACCAGCAACCAACCAAAUCUAGGGGAUCAACGGCGCCUUAACUUAGUUCCUGGUCAGCUCGCAAGUUGGUAUAAUCGAGUCCUACACCGUCCACAAGAUGGGGGGCCACGUCCCAUUUCAUC
Molecule: long non-coding RNA, 3542 nt
Filed under: Volvox carteri
Lineage: Eukaryota; Viridiplantae; Chlorophyta; Chlorophyceae; Chlamydomonadales; Volvocaceae
Description: long non-coding RNA (VCAR_LNC002235)
Source: RNAcentral